AAGUCGUAACAAGGUUUCCGUAGGUGAACCUGCGGAAGGAUCAUUACCGAGUUUUUUGGUUCGAAAGAGCCGAACUCUUCACACCGUGCGUACGCAUGUCAUUACGUUUACACACAAAGGCAAAUGUGUCUAAUCAACCGAAUCAAACUAAAGCAAAAACUUUCAACAACGGAUCUCUUGGCUCUC
RNAcentral lists this unclassified non-coding RNA (186 nucleotides) under fungal sp. Its description in RNAcentral is "partial internal transcribed spacer region". The stretch from base 1 to 46 matches the Rfam family "Eukaryotic small subunit ribosomal RNA", at positions 1786 to 1831 of the family's 1831-position model. The record is from RNAcentral. Lineage: Eukaryota; Fungi.